This 374-nucleotide ribosomal RNA is filed under the name uncultured bacterium. RNAcentral describes it as "bacterial SSU rRNA". It matches the Rfam family "Bacterial small subunit ribosomal RNA", at positions 524 to 898 of the family's 1533-position model. The record is from RNAcentral.
UACGUAGGUGGCAAGCGUUGUCCGGAUUUACUGGGCGUAAAGGAUGCGUAGGCGGAUUUUUAAGUGGGAUGUGAAAUUCCGAGGCUCAACCUCGGCGCUGCAUUCCAAACUGGAAGUCUAGAGUGCGGGAGAGGAAAGUGGAAUUCCUAGUGUAGCGGUGAAAUGCGUAGAGAUUAGGAAGAACACCAGUGGCGAAGGCGACUUUCUGGACCGUAACUGACGCUGAUGCAUGAAAGCGUGGGGAGCAAACAGGAUUAGAUACCCUGGUAGUCCACGCCGUAAACGAUGGGUACUAGGUGUAGGAGGGUCCAACCUUCUGUGCCGCCGUUAACACAUUAAGUACCCCGCCUGGGGAGUACGGUCGCAAGAUUAAA